AGGGGAAACGGCAUUAUGUGCUUGCACAUUUUGGACGUCGACCGGCGCACGGGUGAGUAUCGCGUAUCCAACCUGCCCUUUACUUGGGGAUACCCCGUUGAAAGACGGCCUAAUACCCGAUGUAAUUCAUUGAUGGCAUCAGAUAUGAAUAAAAGAUUUAUCGGUAAAGGAUGGGGAUGCGUCUGAUUAGCUUGUUGGUGAGGUAAAGGCUCACCAAGGCAACGAUCAGUAGGGGUUCUGAGAGGAAGGUCCCCCACAUUGGAACUGAGACACGGUCCAAACUCCUACGGGAGGCAGCAGUGAGGAAUAUUGGUCAAUGGGCGGAAGCCUGAACCAGCCAAGUAGCGUGCAGGAAGACGGCCCUAUGGGUUGUAAACUGCUUUUAUACGAGAAUAAUUUGAUGCACGUGUGCGUUAUUGCAUGUAUCGUAUGAAUAAGGACCGGCUAAUUCCGUGCCAGCAGCCGCGGUAAUACGGAAGGUCCAGGCGUUAUCCGGAUUUAUUGGGUUUAAAGGGAGUGUAGGCGGUUUGUUAAGCGUGUUGUGAAAUUUAGGUGCUCAACAUUUAACUUGCAGCGCGAACUGUCAGACUUGAGUACACGCAACGUAUGCGGAAUUCAUGGUGUAGCGGUGAAAUGCUUAGAUAUCAUGAAGAACUCCGAUUGCGAAGGCAGCAUACGGGAGUGUAACUGACGCUUAAGCCUCGAAGGUGCGGGUAUCGAACAGGAUUAGAUACCCUGGUAGUCCGCACAGUAAACGAUGGAUGCCCGCUGUUAGCGCCUGGCGUUAG
Molecule: ribosomal RNA, 788 nt
Filed under: uncultured Bacteroidota bacterium
Lineage: Bacteria; Pseudomonadati; Bacteroidota
Description: bacterial SSU rRNA
Rfam family: Bacterial small subunit ribosomal RNA
Source: RNAcentral